Molecule: non-coding RNA, 235 nt
Organism: Pelobates cultripes (western spadefoot toad)
Lineage: Eukaryota; Metazoa; Chordata; Amphibia; Anura; Pelobatidae
Source: the annotation of a GenBank genome assembly
GUAUGAUGUGUGUGAGUGCUGAGUGUGAUGUGUGUGAGAGUGAUGUGCCUGAGUGCUGAGUGCUGUGUGUGAGAGUGUUGAGUGCUGUGUGUGAGAGUGUUGUGUGAUGUGUGUGAGAGUGCUGAGUGUGAAAGUGCUGUGUGUGAAAGUGCUAUGAUGUGUGUGAGAGUGCUGCGAUGUGUGAGAUUGCUGUGUAUGAUGUGUGUGAGAGUGCUAUGAUGUGUGUGAGAGUGCU